RNAcentral lists this transfer RNA (75 nucleotides) under Spirochaetota bacterium. RNAcentral describes it as "Spirochaetes bacterium tRNA-His". It matches the Rfam family "tRNA". From Rfam's summary of the family: Transfer RNA (tRNA) molecules are approximately 80 nucleotides in length. The record is from RNAcentral. Lineage: Bacteria; Pseudomonadati; Spirochaetota.
GUGGGUGUAGUUCAAUUGGCAGAGCACCAGACUGUGGAUCUGGUUGUUGUGGGUUCGAGCCCCAUCACCCACCCA